GCUUUUCUGGACACAUUUCUUGUAAUUGACAUGUUUCUGUGGAAUAUUUACUUUAUUGAAAUAGUUUAGUGUCUUCGAAAAAGUCUUAACCGUUUUAGCAUCUUAACGAGUUUUUAAUCACAUCUUUAUGUGCAGAAGUAUUUUUUUUUUUUUAAGGUUUUGCUGGUAAUCCAUCAAUGGGUUAUUAGAAGUGAGCUAAUUUAUUUAAACAAAGUAUACACUGUACAGUUUAUCAAUGACAUCACUUACAGGAGCGCGAAAAUGAAAUGAAGUGCAUUUUGAUCUUUGAUGGUAAACAAAUGACCAUGAUUAAGUUUAAUGUUUGAUAAUAUAAUACCAAUUACAUUGUAGACAAAAAUGUUCUGUGAUUUCAGGAGUGAAAAAAAAUUAUUCUACGGCAAUGGAGGGGGAAGGUCCAAGGGAGCUGCUGACAGAAAAGUAGGAAACUCAGAUUCUUCCAUGCUGAUGGCCUGCACUCCUGUCGAAGAAAAUCUCAGGCUAAAAACCAUAUGACUAGUAAGGAAAACCUCUAACAUACACUACUGUUCAAAUUUUUGGAGUCUGUAAGAUUUUUUUUUUAUUGAAAGUCUCACAUUUUUAAAUCAGUGAGAGUGUCUGUGAAAAGCAUUUAGGGUAAAAUAAUCAGUGAAAUGACAUAGGUGACAAAUAUGAUGUUAUAUUGGUUGUAGUUAUGAUAAACUAUUAUGAUAAUAGGAUGGUAUGGUCAUUUAUAUAUUUUCUCUACAGUGCUCCACUCAAAGUCAUUUAUUUUUUAUGCAUUUUUUACUGGUAAAUUCUUAAAUGCCUGAAGUUGUCAACUCCCUGAACCACAGUUAGAAUUUAAAGUAAAAAGUAUUUGUUAUUUUUUUACAGAUAUCUGGCCAGCUUACUCACUGCUCCUACUCUUAGCCUCUAAAAUGUUUGAAUUAAAUCACCAAUGCAAUAUCAGAGGGUAAAGAUAUCAUUAGAGUUUUUACAGAUAUGGCUGUGCUCUUGUUACCAGAUGUAAUCCCUAGCGUUUGGUGCUGAGAUUCUUCUUUGAAAUAAAGUAAUCAGAGCAUUAUUAUGAUUACUUUUAAAAGGAGUAAUCAGUAAUCAGUCAUUUGAUUUCAUUUUCAGAAUAACUUGCCCAACACUAAAAAUGACCCACUAUGUAUUAUUAUAGCAAAACUGAGCACCCGUGACAGUGGGAUUUG
Molecule: long non-coding RNA, 1196 nt
Organism: Cyprinus carpio carpio
Lineage: Eukaryota; Metazoa; Chordata; Actinopteri; Cypriniformes; Cyprinidae
Source: Ensembl